This 727-nucleotide ribosomal RNA is filed under the name Streptomyces sp. RNAcentral describes it as "bacterial SSU rRNA". It matches the Rfam family "Bacterial small subunit ribosomal RNA", at positions 137 to 876 of the family's 1533-position model. The record is from RNAcentral. Lineage: Bacteria; Bacillati; Actinomycetota; Actinomycetes; Kitasatosporales; Streptomycetaceae.
UCUGGGACAAGCCCUGGAAACGGGGUCUAAUACCGGAUAAUACUUCCACUCGCAUGGGUGGAGGUUAAAAGCUCCGGCGGUGAAGGAUGAGCCCGCGGCCUAUCAGCUUGUUGGUGAGGUAAUGGCUCACCAAGGCGACGACGGGUAGCCGGCCUGAGAGGGCGACCGGCCACACUGGGACUGAGACACGGCCCAGACUCCUACGGGAGGCAGCAGUGGGGAAUAUUGCACAAUGGGCGAAAGCCUGAUGCAGCGACGCCGCGUGAGGGAUGACGGCCUUCGGGUUGUAAACCUCUUUCAGCAGGGAAGAAGCGAAAGUGACGGUACCUGCAGAAGAAGCGCCGGCUAACUACGUGCCAGCAGCCGCGGUAAUACGUAGGGCGCAAGCGUUGUCCGGAAUUAUUGGGCGUAAAGAGCUCGUAGGCGGUCUGUCGCGUCGGAUGUGAAAGCCCGGGGCUUAACCCCGGGUCUGCAUUCGAUACGGGCAGACUAGAGUGUGGUAGGGGAGAUCGGAAUUCCUGGUGUAGCGGUGAAAUGCGCAGAUAUCAGGAGGAACACCGGUGGCGAAGGCGGAUCUCUGGGCCAUUACUGACGCUGAGGAGCGAAAGCGUGGGGAGCGAACAGGAUUAGAUACCCUGGUAGUCCACGCCGUAAACGGUGGGAACUAGGUGUUGGCGACAUUCCACGUCGUCGGUGCCGCAGCUAACGCAUUAAGUUCCCCGCCUGG